UUGGAUCGAGAAAGCUGGGCUCUGUGGGCAGCAGAUAUCUGCAAGUACAAACAAAGCCUUUGGUUUCUUCCUCUGCCCCAGCUCUCUUCUGUGUGGGCCUUUCUGGACUUCUGGACACAGAAUACAGAAUGCUGACACACAGAUUCCAUUGACAAUUCUAAUCAGCACAACUUAGACAUCUGUGCACUGUCCCCACUUACUAUCCUGUGCGGCCAGGCCUCUAAGUAUACUUGGCUUUUCUAGAGCCCUUUUUGAAUGGGGAUCUCAAUAUGCUUUAGACUGAGGAGGACUCCAGCCAGGGCCAUGAAGAGCACUGCGAAGUACCACAGCCUCUGCAUGCCAGAGAUACUUUUAAAACUCAGCCCCGCUUCCCCAGGCGUUCUGUGGUUCAUCAGUGCAUAGGGAGCUCAUGUGUUUGGGUUUUUUUGUUUUUGUUUUUAAUUUUGUUAGUGAUUUUUAGAAAGUAAGCGAAUCAUUUGAGUGAGUGAAUUUCCUAGAGGUUGGAAUGAAACCAGAGUUAACAGAUACACAUGGGGCCUGUUUGCUGUGUGUCAUACAGCAGAUAGAGCCACUGUCCCUGGUGCCAUAGUCCGGGGAAUUCUCUCUGGGGGUUCUUUUCUGGUAGCUCAGGCUCUUAGUUUCUCCCACAUCAGCACAUGACAACCCACAUAUAUGUAUGUGGCUUUUACAUAGCAUAGUGUUCAAAUAUCGACUUGAAUAUUCUGUGUGUAGUAUGCACACAACUUGCCUUUGUUUUCUUUUCUGUUUCUACCUUAUGGGUACAGCCUGAACCGUGCACAUUGUGUUUUUAAUCAGAGGCACAAUUCCAUUAGCCAGAAGCGAAUGCUGUUCUCGUGCAUGGCACAUCCGAUCAGUGAGUAAAUCACAGAGUGUCCGCGUUGUGUCGUAUCCGUAUGGAAAUGACACAAACUCUUUGAGAACAUUCCAGACUCCUACUAAAAUCUAGAAGGAAUGAACCAUGAAAGUUUUACAGGCAACUCUGCAGACCCCCGAGCUCAAGAGCAGAGCCUGUGUGAGCCACGGCUGGCUCUUCAUCCUUCAGCAGUGCCUUGCACACUACAAGCGUGCAGAAAUGUUUGUUGAGUGAAUGAAUGGACGGCGUGCCGAGUGAAUGAUAGGCAGUAAACAGAGGAAGAGGAGGUGAGACGUUAUGCUGGCAGUAUUACAGGGUGUGUAGGGAUGAUCUCUGUUGUAUUUGGUUUGUGAAAUAGUCCUUCAACUGAGAGGGGAAAAAAAAGCACACUUUUAGGUGGGUGUGGCCGGUGGUGUAUCUGGGGAGUCGGGAACAGAAAUACUGCGGUAAUGCAUGAGCCGCAUGUUGGCUUCCAGAGCAGGAGAUCUGGAGGAAAGCCGAUUUCACAUUUCGAAGGUAAUAAUAGUGUGUUCGUUCAGGGCAGGAAAGGUUGGCUGAGCCCAGAAAUUCCUGGCUGGUCAGGUGCUCCUUCAGACCAGCUUGCAUAAUUCAUAAUUUCAUAAUUCAGGGCAGAAAUUCUGAAAUUGCUUCAAGAAUCUGGAAUCGCUACCCAUCUCUUGCAGCAAAACUGAUGAGCCACACCCUGGAUCUCCAGGACAACAGACAGGGCUAGAGCGCAGACAGGGAGCCAAUCAUCUGUAGAGCAGCUUCCCAUUGGCCCAUUACUGGUCACACCUCCCGCUGUCCAGAUGUUUGCACAUUAGAGCUUUCAGUGGGCUCCACACCCACACACAUACCUUCCUUUACACCUAGUGGGACACAUACAUGUGAAGAGAUGGCAGAGCCUGGCGCGGGAAGAGAGGCUGAAUCUGAAGGCCUUUGUGUACAGGUGGGCAGUGAAAGACAGGAGCCUGUGUGGACCUGGUCGUUGUGAACUCUGGAUGAGAGAACAGCCCCUGAAAUAGCCCUGCCUCCCAGCCUCGCCCCUAAGACGCUUUAUUAGAAGCCAGCCUUCUCUGGUGGAUGCCUACUUCUGACGCAGGAAGCGUUAAGAGGUAUAGAGCCGAGGUUUGCCUUUUGAGGAGUGUUGAGUCAUUCAUUUCAUUUACGUUUUGUACUUCAUCUUUGGGACUGGAUAAUUUGGUGACUAAUGUGGAUUCUAUUUCAGUGAAAGCUUUGCUUUCAGCGUUUCUUACUUCUUCACUAAUGCCUUGUGUGUGUUUUUACUAACCUUUUAGAUUGUACCUUCAGGUGAGAAGAACAGAAAAAAAUAAAAAUAAAAACCCUCAGCAGGGUUGCUCUUGCUGCCAGGUGCUGGCUGUGGAGGUCAAAAGAAGUAAUUGUCUGCACCAUUUUUCUGCCUUGUCAGCCCCUUUACUGUACCAAGGUCUUUGGGAAACCCCUGCAGGUUCCUAUUGCAGGGUGGGAAAUUGUGAAGAAAAGUGUUUGCACAAUCUUAACAAUAAGUGUUCCUGGUCUCUUGUAGGUUUUUGUUAUUCCUAGUUCUCCCCUGCUCAGACUGAGAAAAACAUUUGUGGUGCUGUCAACCUGUGUUCUUGACCCUCAAAUGAUUUUGAUUUUUUUUUUUUGUAUUUCCAAUAUGAAUUUGUGUGUUACGAAUUUCUGAUUUCUUCAAUAGCAUAUGCUACUAUAUAAAUUUGUAUCAAUAAUAAAUGAUGGCCCAGU
RNAcentral lists this long non-coding RNA (2620 nucleotides) under Mus musculus (house mouse). Its description in RNAcentral is "long non-coding RNA chr5:96782104-96784724". The record is from RNAcentral. Lineage: Eukaryota; Metazoa; Chordata; Mammalia; Rodentia; Muridae.